GAUGAAGAACGUAGCGAAAUGCGAUAAGUAAUGCGAAUUGCAGAAUUCCGUGAGUCAUCGAAUCUUUGAACGCACAUUGCGCCCUUUGGCAUUCCGAAGGGCAUGCCUGUUCGAGCGUCAUUUAUCAACCCUCAAGCCCGGCAUGCGGUUGGGUCCCGCCGUGGGCGACCACGGCGGACCCGAAAGGUAAUGGCGGUGCCCGUGGGGCCCUGGACGCAGCGAGCUUCUCGGCACGCGUCCCGGCGGUCCCCGGCGCCGUCUCCACCAAUCCACCACGCAGAUUGACCUCGGAUCAGGUAGGGAUACCCGCUGAACUUAAGCAUAUCAAUAAGCGGAGGA
This 339-nucleotide unclassified non-coding RNA is filed under the name soil metagenome. RNAcentral's name for it is "partial contains 5.8S ribosomal RNA, internal transcribed spacer 2, and large subunit ribosomal RNA". The stretch from base 1 to 120 matches the Rfam family "5.8S ribosomal RNA", at positions 35 to 154 of the family's 154-position model. The record is from RNAcentral.